This 242-nucleotide long non-coding RNA is filed under the name Salvia miltiorrhiza (redroot sage). Its description in RNAcentral is "long non-coding RNA (SMIL_LNC003224)". Lineage: Eukaryota; Viridiplantae; Streptophyta; Magnoliopsida; Lamiales; Lamiaceae. The record is from RNAcentral.
CACUGUAUUGAGGUGUUAAGUUAUUGUAUUUGUUGUGCAAUUAACUGCAUUCUAAAAAAAUCAAACGAAAAAAAAAAUACCGCUCUCUCUAUAUUUCAAACCCAAGUGAUACAUUCAUUUAUCAAGUGGAUGCAUUCACCAGUAAAUCUUCAUGAUCCAAGAAUUAAAUUUUGAUAAUGAUUCUCCGUUCUCAUUUUAAAUAAAAGUUAUCAUUUGAACCUCUCUGUGUAUAUUAACCCAAC